CCAAUUGUUUUGCCGACGCUUAUCGUUCAGAUACGAGCCGUGUAGCAUCCAACAGUUGUGCAUCGUGAAGUCCUCAUCUAUUGCGCAACUCCUCGUUUUCCAAUCGCGGGUCCGACGUCCAUCUUUAUUGUAGUGCAUAUCUGUUUUGCACGCAUCAGUUUCAUUCGAUUGUCGCUGAUUCUGUUCUGUCGUCAAUCGUCAAAGCUAUGUUGUGAUUUCAUUGGUGAUAUUGGAGAGCUGUGCUUGGAUAUUUAAGUUUCGAAGUGAACUUCAUUGGAAUUGUUGCCUCAUUCUACUUGGAAUUUAAUUUAUUGGAUUUAGUACGAUUGAAGAACUUUACGUAAACUCGAGGUAAGGGA
This is a long non-coding RNA of Cucumis sativus (cucumber), 359 nucleotides long. RefSeq lists it as uncharacterized. The transcript has 2 exons. The record is from RefSeq and is a predicted model, not a curated record. Lineage: Eukaryota; Viridiplantae; Streptophyta; Magnoliopsida; Cucurbitales; Cucurbitaceae.